Molecule: transfer RNA, 55 nt
Filed under: Nematostella vectensis (starlet sea anemone)
Lineage: Eukaryota; Metazoa; Cnidaria; Anthozoa; Actiniaria; Edwardsiidae
Rfam family: tRNA
About the family: Transfer RNA (tRNA) molecules are approximately 80 nucleotides in length. Their secondary structure includes four short double-helical elements and three loops (D, anti-codon, and T loops).
Source: Rfam by way of RNAcentral
GUAUAGUGGAUAGAACAUUGCGUUGUGGCCGCAAUAACCCAGGUUCCAAUCCUGG